UCGUUUUGGGAAUUGAUUGAGUGGUUGGAUUGGUGGCUAGGAGGACAGGAGAAUAUGGACAUUAUUCUAAUGACUAAAUGGUAUUUCUAGAAUUUCCUUAAAGACAUGUGUUUGGCAUGUGACUACUUAAUUUCCAAGAAACUCUAUAAAUACCACUUCCAUUCCAUUAGGAAGGAACUUCUGACUCUUUUGGAAUUUUGGAGCUUGGACAUUCUCUCUCAACUCGAAGCACUCAAGAAGGCUCUCUGAAUCCCUGUUACCCUAACAAGGUUUUCGGAUUAUAGAAGUCUCUCUCAACCCGAAGCACUCAAGAAGACUUUUGGAAUCCAUGUUACCCUAACAAGGUUGUUAGAUUCUAGGAGUUCUGUCACUUGUCAUUGGAGUAAUCGAUCACCUGUUCUUCUCUCAUCUCAAUCCAUCAAUUAAUUUCGUGCUCUUCGUAGAUUUCUCUCCUCCUCAGCCAACACGAAACUCUAACCCUAGCAAUGCACGAUUUUCU
RNAcentral lists this long non-coding RNA (499 nucleotides) under Panax ginseng (ginseng). RNAcentral describes it as "long non-coding RNA (PGIN_LNC014387)". Lineage: Eukaryota; Viridiplantae; Streptophyta; Magnoliopsida; Apiales; Araliaceae. The record is from RNAcentral.